This is a long non-coding RNA of Electrophorus electricus (electric eel), 299 nucleotides long. NCBI's taxonomy places the organism in Eukaryota, Metazoa, Chordata, Actinopteri, Gymnotiformes, Gymnotidae. The record is from Ensembl.
ACAGACACCAGACUGCAAGAGGUCCCGUCUCUCCCUUGAAGUGAUGGGUGCGGCGGCCAAAGCUUCCAUAGAGGCCAGUCCGUCCGUCCUGGAUCUGGGUGAGGUGCUGGUUGGGGACUGUAAGUUGUUUGAGGUUCGGCUGCUCAACAGCAGCUCCUGUGCCAUCAGCUUCUCUUUGAGUGUCCUGCAGACAGUCAGUGUACGAGGCUCCCGUGAGGACACGCACAAAGACCCUGUCGUUCUGGAGCUGGAAAGCAUGCAGGGCACCAUCCCAUCUCGCUGCAGGCUGCCGAUCUCGU